Molecule: non-coding RNA, 160 nt
Organism: Callorhinus ursinus (northern fur seal)
Lineage: Eukaryota; Metazoa; Chordata; Mammalia; Carnivora; Otariidae
Source: RefSeq, a predicted model, not a curated record
GGCGGGAAAAUGUAAUGAUCAGGAAGGUGGUUUCUCCAGGGUAAGGCUUAUCCACUGUACUUUGGCUGUGCUGACCCCAGCAAUUUCCCCAAAUAUGGGAAAUUUGGUUGCAUGAUUUGUUGAAGAGGGGAACUGCAUUCAUACUUUUUGGAGUCUUCUU